UACGUAGGGUGCGAGCGUUGUCCGGAAUUAUUGGGCGUAAAGAGCUCGUAGGCGGCUUGUCGCGUCGGAUGUGAAAGCCCAGGCUUAACUCCGGGUCUGCAUUCGAUACGGGCAGGCUAGAGUGUGGUAGGGGAGAUCGGAAUUCCUGGUGUAGCGGUGAAAUGCGCAGAUAUCAGGAGGAACACCGGUGGCGAAGGCGGAUCUCUGGGCCAUUACUGACGCUGAGGAGCGAAAGCGUGGGGAGCGAACAGG
Molecule: ribosomal RNA, 252 nt
Filed under: uncultured bacterium
Lineage: Bacteria
Description: partial 16S ribosomal RNA
Rfam family: Bacterial small subunit ribosomal RNA
Source: RNAcentral